Molecule: non-coding RNA, 79 nt
Organism: Podarcis lilfordi (Lilford's wall lizard)
Lineage: Eukaryota; Metazoa; Chordata; Lepidosauria; Squamata; Lacertidae
Source: the annotation of a GenBank genome assembly
GGAUAGCUCAGUUGGUUACAGUGUGGUGCUGAUAAUGGCGAGGUUGCAAGUUCGAUCCCCUAGCUACCUAAGAGAACCA